UUUUCUGUUGCUUUUCUUUGAGUCCA
This 26-nucleotide non-coding RNA is filed under the name Mus musculus (house mouse). Lineage: Eukaryota; Metazoa; Chordata; Mammalia; Rodentia; Muridae. The record is from RNAcentral.